AUUUGUGCUAUUCGAGGUCUGGUGUGAUGGGGAUAUGCGUAGUAUUGGUAAACUGUUGCGAAUCCUAUUGUCGCAUAACAAGGACUCCCAGAUGUGGAUGUGUAUUUUUCGUACCUGUCAUGAACAGAAAGCAAUUUGAGAACUUGAGUUUCUUUGCGGAUUACAAAAGUAACGGAGAAAAUUUCGGUGACGGUAACGCAAUUUUUCACUAAACAUUCAGAUAAAAAUUAUGGAACGCACCAAAAAAAAUUAUUACAUAGGUUUUUGUCGUGAAUUGCGGAAUGAAAAAUGAAAAAUAUGGGCAAAUUUGAGGUUUGAAAAAAUUGAUAAUUUAUGGAAAAAAAUGUCAAAGAAGGAUUCAUCCAGAAAAAUAUGAAAAUUAACUGAUUUGCCAUCAACUUUUGUCUUCAAAAAACAGUAAAUCAAACAUGCACCCAAUACAAAUAUUUUCAACGAAGAAUCCUCAUAAUUUUAGAAUAAAAAAUUGGAGAGAGAUGGAGUUUCAUUAAGAGUCUAUUUCCUCCCCUCAUAAGGGUUGGAGACAGUUUUAUAUAGGAGCCGCUAAGAUACAAAAAAUGUUACAAGACUCUGCUGAAAAAAUAUUUAAACAAAUUCAGAAUAAAAUCCAACUAGAAUAAAUACGAAGGAAGACCUGUUUUCCAGUACCUGAAAUUGAUAAUUCAUUAAAAUUGUACUACGGUCAUUAGGGUGACCGGACAAUUAGCCCCUUUCAACGACACCUCCCACUGUGUGACAAGAGAACCUGAGUAAAGGCGAAUUACUGUCGGCCUACUGUCAAGGGUUCCCUAAGGCUGGCCUAAAAUUUUCAUCCUGAGCCAGUGACUUGAUGAAGGAAUCCAACUUAUCAUGAACUUUGGGCGGCAGUUUCUCUGUCAUCUUGGAAAGAACCUCAUCAGGUUCAACCCCUUCGUACAUAUCGGUCUGGAG
This is a long non-coding RNA of Diachasmimorpha longicaudata, 948 nucleotides long. RefSeq lists it as uncharacterized. NCBI's taxonomy places the organism in Eukaryota, Metazoa, Arthropoda, Insecta, Hymenoptera, Braconidae. The record is from RefSeq and is a predicted model, not a curated record. The transcript is spliced from 5 exons.